UACAGAGGGUGCGAGCGUUAAUCGGAUUUACUGGGCGUAAAGGGCGCGUAGGUGGUUAUGAUAGUGUGAUGUGAAAGCCCUGGGCUUAACCUAGGAAGUGCAUCGCAAACUACAUAACUGGAGUAUUGGAGAGGGUAGCGGAAUUUCCGGUGUAGCGGUGAAAUGCGUAGAGAUCGGAAGGAACGUCAAUGGCGAAGGCAGCUACCUGGCCAAAUACUGACACUGAGGCGCGAAAGCGUGGGGAGCAAACAGG
RNAcentral lists this ribosomal RNA (253 nucleotides) under uncultured bacterium. RNAcentral describes it as "partial 16S ribosomal RNA". It matches the Rfam family "Bacterial small subunit ribosomal RNA", at positions 524 to 776 of the family's 1533-position model. The record is from RNAcentral.